UCAAGCGAAUAAGCGCACACGGUGGAUGCCUUGGCGGUCAGAGGCGAUGAAGGACGUGGCAGCCUGCGAAAAGUAUCGGGGAGCUGGCAACAAGCUUUGAUCCGGUAAUGUCCGAAUGGGGAAACCCACCCGCUUGCGGGUAUCCUGCAGUGAAUACAUAGCUGCUGGAAGCGAACCUGGUGAACUGAAAUAUCUAAGUAACCAGAGGAAAGAAAUCAACCGAGAUUCCGUAAGUAGCGACGAGCGAACGCGGACUAGCCCUUAAGCUGAUUUGGUUCUAGGAAAACGCUCUGGAAAGAGCGGCCAUAGAAGGUGAUAGCCCUGUAUCUGAAAGGGCCAUUUCAGUGAAGACGAGUAGGGCGGGGCACGUGAAACCCUGUCUGAACAUGGGGGGACCAUCCUCCAAGGCUAAAUACUACUGACCGACCGAUAGUGAACCAGUACCGUGAGGGAAAGGCGAAAAGAACCCCGGAGAGGGGAGUGAAAUAGAAACCUGAAACCGUGUGCGUACAAGCAGUAGGAGCUCCGCAAGGAGUGACUGCGUACUUUUGUAUAAUGGGUCAGCGACUUACUGUUCGUGGCAAGCUUAACCGUAUAGGGGAGGCGAAGGGAAACCGAGUCUGAUAAGGGCGCAUAGUCGCGGGCAGUAGACCCGAAACCGGGUGAUCUAGUCAUGCCCAGGGUGAAGGUGCGGUAACACGCACUGGAGGCCCGAACCCACUCCCGUUGCAAAGGUAGGGGAUGAGGUGUGAUUAGGAGUGAAAAGCUAAUCGAACCCGGAGAUAGCUGGUUCUCCUCGAAAGCUAUUUAGGUAGCGCCUCAUAUGUAUCCUCUCGGGGGUAGAGCACUGUUAUGGCUAGGGGGUCAUCGCGACUUACCAAACCAUUGCAAACUCCGAAUACCGAGACGGACUGUAUGGGAGACACACGGCGGGUGCUAACGUCCGUCGUGAAAAGGGAAACAACCCAGACCCACAGCUAAGGUCCCAAAUUCACUGCUAAGUGGAAAACCAUGUGGAAAGGCACAGACAGCCAGGAGGUUGGCUUAGAAGCAGCCACCCUUUAAAGAAAGCGUAAUAGCUCACUGGUCGAGUCGGUCUGCGGGGAAGAUUUAACGGGGCUAAGCAGUGAACCGAAGCUUGGGGUGCAUACUUUGUAUGCGCGGUAGAGGAGCGUUCCGUAAGCCGUUGAAGGUGGAUUGAGAAGUCUGCUGGAGGUAUCGGAAGUGCGAAUGCUGACAUGAGUAACGAUAAUGCGGGUGAAAAACCCGCACGCCGAAAGCCCAAGGUUUCCUUGCGCAACGUUAAUCGGCGCAGGGUGAGUCGGCCCCUAAGGCGAGGACGAAAGUCGUAGUCGAUGGGAAGCAGGUUAAUAUUCCUGCACCUCGCGUAAGUGCGAUGGAGGGACGGAGAAGGUUAGGUGUACCAGGCGUUGGUUGUCCUGGGGAAAGGCGGUAGGUUUGGAUCUUUGGCAAAUCCGGGAUCCUCUAAGACCGAGCACCGAGACGAGCCUUUAUGGCGAAGUCACUGAUACCACGCUUCCAGGAAAAGCUCCUAAGCUUCAGCUUACGCAGACCGUACCGUAAACCGACACAGGUGGGUAGGAUGAGAAUUCUCAGGCGCUUGAGAGAACUCGGGUGAAGGAACUAGGCAACAUGGCACCGUAACUUCGGGAGAAGGUGCACCCUUUUUGGUGGCUCGUGCGAGCUAUAGCUGAAGAGGGUCGCAGUAACCAGGCCGCUGCGACUGUUUAUCAAAAACACAGCACUCUGCAAACACGAAAGUGGACGUAUAGGGUGUGACGCCUGCCCGGUGCUGGAAGGUUAAUUGAUGGGGUCAGCCGCAAGGCGAAGCUCUUGAUCGAAGCCCCAGUAAACGGCGGCCGUAACUAUAACGGUCCUAAGGUAGCGAAAUUCCUUGUCGGGUAAGUUCCGACCUGCACGAAUGGCGUAACGACAGCGGCGCUGUCUCCACCCGAGACUCAGUGAAAUUGAAAUCGCUGUGAAGAUGCAGCGUUCCCGUGGCAAGACGGAAAGACCCCGUGAACCUUUACUAUAGCUUUACACUGAACGUUGAGUUCGUCUGUGUAGGAUAGGUGGGAGGCUAUGAAACCAUGGCGCUAGCUGUGGCGGAGCCAUCCUUGAAAUACCACCCUGUCGUGCUUGACGUUCUAACCUGGGCCCAUUAUCUGGGUCGGGGACCGUGUAUGGUGGGUAGUUUGACUGGGGCGGUCUCCUCCUAAAGAGUAACGGAGGAGCUCGAAGGUACGCUCAGCGCGGUCGGACAUCGCGCACUGUGUGCAAAGGCAUAAGCGUGCUUGACUGCAAGAUCGACGGAUCAAGCAGGUAGGAAACUAGGACUUAGUGAUCCGGUGGUUCUGUAUGGAAGGGCCAUCGCUCAACGGAUAAAAGGUACUCCGGGGAUAACAGGCUGAUACCGCCCAAGAGUUCAUAUCGACGGCGGUGUUUGGCACCUCGAUGUCGGCUCAUCACAUCCUGGGGCUGUAGUCGGUCCCAAGGGUAUGGCUGUUCGCCAUUUAAAGUGGUACGCGAGCUGGGUUCAGAACGUCGUGAGACAGUUCGGUCCCUAUCUGCCAUGGGCGUUGGAGAUUUGAGAGGGGCUGCUCCUAGUACGAGAGGACCGGAGUGGACGAACCUCUGGUGUUCCGGUUGUCACGCCAGUGGCAUUGCCGGGUAGCUAUGUUCGGAAGCGAUAACCGCUGAAAGCAUCUAAGCGGGAAGCGCGCCUCAAGAUGAGAUCUCCCGGGGCACAAGCCCCCUGAAGGAACCAUGUAGACUACGUGGUUGAUAGGUCAGGUGUGUAAGUACAGCAAUGUAUUGAGCUAACUGAUACUAAUGAUCCGAGAGGCUUGACCAU
Molecule: ribosomal RNA, 2875 nt
Filed under: Stenotrophomonas maltophilia
Lineage: Bacteria; Pseudomonadati; Pseudomonadota; Gammaproteobacteria; Lysobacterales; Lysobacteraceae
Description: 23S ribosomal RNA
Rfam family: Bacterial large subunit ribosomal RNA
Source: RNAcentral